This 491-nucleotide ribosomal RNA is filed under the name uncultured bacterium. RNAcentral describes it as "partial 16S ribosomal RNA". It matches the Rfam family "Bacterial small subunit ribosomal RNA", at positions 29 to 506 of the family's 1533-position model. The record is from RNAcentral.
AGUGAACGCUGGCGGUAGGCCUAACACAUGCAAGUCGAACGGCAGCACAGUAAGAGCUUGCUCUUACGGGUGGCGAGUGGCGGACGGGUGAGGAAUACAUCGGAAUCUACUUUUUCGUGGGGGAUAACGUAGGGAAACUUACGCUAAUACCGCAUACGACCUACGGGUGAAAGCAGGGGAUCUUCGGACCUUGCGCGAUUGAAUGAGCCGAUGUCGGAUUAGCUAGUUGGCGGGGUAAAGGCCCACCAAGGCGACGAUCCGUAGCUGGUCUGAGAGGAUGAGCGGCCCACGGGGAGCUGAAACAGGGUCCAAACCCCUAGGGGGGGCAGAAGGGGGGAAAUUUGAACAAGGGGGGAAAGCCUAAACCGGCCAACCCGCGUGGGGGAAGAAGGCCUUCGGGUUGUAAAGCCUUUUUGUGGGGAAAAAAAAGCAGCAGGUUAAAACCCCGUUUUUCGGGCGUUACCCAAAAAAUAAGCCCCGGCGAACUUGGU